Myotis lucifugus (little brown bat) is the source of this 2705-nucleotide RNA transcript. It is a transcript of the gene named nuclear apoptosis inducing factor 1, with no coding region annotated. The record is from RefSeq and is a predicted model, not a curated record. The transcript is spliced from 3 exons. NCBI's taxonomy places the organism in Eukaryota, Metazoa, Chordata, Mammalia, Chiroptera, Vespertilionidae.
GCCGGGCGGCGAGGAGAACGCAGAAGACACGCGGGUAUCCUCAGACUGCGAGCGCGGGUUCCGAGAUGCCGGCAAACGGGCGGGAGGGGCCGCUUCCGGGAGCCCCGCCUCUCUGGCCACGCCCCUAGCUCGCCGCCGACUAGUCACAGGCCGGCACUGCCACCCGGAGGGGCGGGACCUCUCCAAGGACUGCCCACAUCGUCCUUGCCGGCCUGGAUCAAUAGAGUGGGCGGGGCGAUUCCGGCUCAGCCUGGGGCCGAUUCAAACUGAGGGAGGCAGGGAUUGGCUGAAUCGGGCCAAACAGAGGAAAUCGCGCCGCUAUAGGCAGAAGUCAUGUGAUUGGCAGGCGGGAGGUCCCGCGUCCAGUUUCCAUUGAGUAACUCUGUUUGGACUUCAGAAUCGUAAGGAUGGGAGGAGAGGUCGUGUCUUCGGUGGGAAAUAGGAUUUGUGUGAGGAGUAAUUGUGAGCUGCAUCUCAAACCAGUUUGCGCCCGUGGGUGGAAUUAUAAAUUAAUUGGCCAACAGCUCAAGCUGAAAGCACUAGGGAUCCGCAGGAGGCCGGGUUUUGAUAAUCUAGCUCCCUAAACCAAUAAACUAGCUAAAUUUAAUAGGAUAAUAUUCGUGAUACUGCUGAUUGAACGACAACGAAUUUCCAAUGGAAGUUAAUAAAGACUCAGUGAUCGGAGCACUCUGUAGCGACAGGCAUACCUUUAGACCAAUGAUCAAGUCGAUCCCGGUAAGUGGGCGUGCUCUGUAGCCGAGCGACAGGUCCAAAGAACCAGUGAGUGUCCGGAUAUUGAGCCGCGACCAACCGGGACUGCGGGUUCCCCCGGAGCAGCGCUGGGAGGCGGGAAGAGGGGAAGUGGGCGGAUCUCCGCACACCCGAGCGGAAGAGGCAGAUUCAGGAAGCCAUUACGCCGCUGGCUGGCAGCGGCUGGGCCGGUCGGCGCCGGGCCCUACGCACUUUGCGUAACGGGGGGGUUACCAAAGGCCUGGUACUUGGCCUUGGCCAACUCGGCCUAUCCCAUGUAGGGGGGUGUGCGAGGGGCGAGGCUGAGGAAGAAGAGAAGGGAAAUUGGGCGGUUGAAGGGAUUAUAAUUUCUUUAAAAAGAAGGGUAGGGAGAGGCCAUGGCCGUCCCAGCCAAGAAGAGGAAGAUGAACUUCUCUGAGCGAGAGGUGGAGAUCAUCGUGGAGGAGCUGGAACUGAAGAAGCACCUGCUGGUGAACCACUUCAACGCCGGGGUCCCGCUGGCUGCCAAGAGCGCGGCCUGGCACGGCAUCCUGAGGAGGGUGAACGCUGUGGCCACCUGCCGCAGGGAGCUGCCCGAGGUCAAGAAGAAGUGGUCUGAUCUCAAGACCGAGGUCCGUCGCAAGGUUGCCCAAGUCCGGGCGGCUGUGGAGGGUGGCGAGGCCCCAGGGCCCAAUGAGGAAGAUGGAGCUGGCGGGCCAGGGCCAGGUGGUAGCAGUAGUGGCGGUGGCCCAGCGGUAGCCCCCGUCCUGCUCACCCCCAUGCAACAGCGCAUCUGCAAUCUGCUGGGUGAGGCCACCAUCAUCAGCCUGCCCAGUGCCACAGAGAUCCACCCUGUGGCCCUUGGACCCACGGCUACUGCAGCCGCAGCCACGGUCACCCUGACACAGAUCCCCACAGAGACCACCUACCACACGCUGGAGGAGGGGGUGGUCGAGUACUGCACCGCUGAGGCCCCCCCGCCCCUGCCAGCGGAGGCCCCUGUGGAGAUGAUCGCCCAGCAUGCUGACCCCUCAGUCAAGCCACAGGCACUCAAGAGCCGCAUUGCCCUCAACUCAGCCAAGCUGAUCCAGGAGCAGCGGGUCACCAACCUGCACGUGAAGGAGAUCGCCCAGCACCUGGAGCAGCAGAACGACCUGCUGCAGAUGAUCCGCCGCUCACAGGAGGUGCAGGCCUGCGCCCAGGAGCGCCAGGCUCAGGCCAUGGAGGGCACGCAGGCGGCCCUGAGCGUCCUCAUCCAAAUCCUCCGGCCCAUGAUCAAAGAUUUCCGCCGCUACCUGCAGAGCAACACAUCCAACCCUGCCCCCGCCUCUGACCCUGGACAGAUGGCCCAGAAUGGACAGCCAGACAGCAUCAUCCCGUGAGGGGAGGGGUCGAGCCAGCCUUCUGCUGUGAUUGGAUGACACCAGGUGGUCUUAUCAUUUCCCAAGUGUGCCAUCUUGCUGCUGGUGCCUUGACCACACAUGACUGAUGGUUACAACUCAAGGCUCCAGAUAAACAACGAAGGUGCUGCCCUUCUGGGCAUGUGCACUCAGAAUUGCUCGGCUCCACUGUUGCAGUCACAGGAAGGUGCCCCCACAGGCAGUUGGGAGGUGACUCCUGUGCCACCAGUCUCUCCGUGGAGGACAUGCAGGGCCAGCUACAGAGCAAUGGAGAGGAAUCGGGCCUGUGAGGGGGUUGGGUGGUGGAAGAAAAGCUCUUCUCAGUGUGGCUGGAAAGCAGUAGCCCCUGGCAACCUGGGCACCCUCCCUCCCAGGAGCCUGAGGGCCCCAGCAGGGUAGCUGCGGGGACUGCCUGAGGAUUUUUUAUUUUGGUUUGGUUUUUCUCUGGGGUUAGCAACCUGAGCCAAUAUUGUGUCUGUUCCAAUUGGGUAUAAAGAGGAAAGCCUGGAUCACUUAAACUGACUGGUUCGUUCCAGGUCAUAAUUUUAAAUUAAAGAAAUAUCACUUUUUUUUAAA